ACCCACCUGGCGGAAUAGGUAGACGUCCCUGCCUCAGAAGCAGGCGCCCGCAAGGGCAUGUCCGUUCGAAUCGGACGGUGGGUACCA
Molecule: transfer RNA, 87 nt
Filed under: Burkholderiales bacterium
Lineage: Bacteria; Pseudomonadati; Pseudomonadota; Betaproteobacteria; Burkholderiales
Also listed under: 1 other name
Description: tRNA-Leu
Source: RNAcentral